GCCUGGCGUUGUGGUGGGCGCCUGUGGUCCCAGCUACUUGGAGGCUGAGGCAAGAGACUUGCUUGAGCCCAGAAGCUGGAGGUUGCUGUGAGCUGUGAAGCCAUGGCAUUCUACCCAGGGGGAUAGCCUGAGGCUCUGUCUCAAAAAAAAAAAAAAAAAAAAAGAAUUUUGUUUUUUUGAGAUACCCUGGGUAGAGGUGCAUGGCACCACCACAGCUCAUGGAACCUCGAAUUCUUGGGCUCAAACGAUUUUCUUGCC
Molecule: small RNA, 258 nt
Filed under: Otolemur garnettii (small-eared galago)
Lineage: Eukaryota; Metazoa; Chordata; Mammalia; Primates; Galagidae
Description: Metazoan signal recognition particle RNA (ENSOGAG00000025418.1)
Source: RNAcentral